RNAcentral lists this ribosomal RNA (226 nucleotides) under uncultured bacterium. RNAcentral's name for it is "partial 16S ribosomal RNA". It matches the Rfam family "Bacterial small subunit ribosomal RNA", at positions 114 to 334 of the family's 1533-position model. The record is from RNAcentral.
AACGUGGGUAACCUGCCCAUCAGAGGGGAUAACAUUCGGAAACGGAUGCUAAAACCGCAUAGGUCUUCGAACCGCAUGGUUUGAAGAGGAAAAGAGGCGCAAGCUUCUGCUGAUGGAUGGACCCGCGGUGCAUUAGCUAGUUGGUGAGGUAACGGCUCACCAAGGCCGUGAUGCAUAGCCGACCUGAGAGGGUGAUCGGCCACAUUGGGACUGAGACACGGCCCAA